RNAcentral lists this ribosomal RNA (405 nucleotides) under uncultured Alphaproteobacteria bacterium. RNAcentral describes it as "bacterial SSU rRNA". It matches the Rfam family "Bacterial small subunit ribosomal RNA", at positions 8 to 384 of the family's 1533-position model. The record is from RNAcentral. Lineage: Bacteria; Pseudomonadati; Pseudomonadota; Alphaproteobacteria.
AGAGUUGUAUCCUGGCUCAGAACGAACGCUGGCGGCAGGCCUAAUACAUGCAAGUCGAGCGCGCCCUUCGGGGUGAGCGGCGGACGGGUUAGUAACGCGUGGGAACGUGCCCUUCUCUAAGGAAUAGCCACUGGAAACGGUGAGUAAUACCUUAUACGCCCCCCAAUCAAAUUCCAUUUGGUUGACGGAAAUUCUGUUGAAUGCCGGAUGGCAUUUGAUGGGGGGGAAAGAUUUAUCGGAGAAGGAUCGGCCCGCGUUAGAUUAGAUAGUUGGUGGGGUAAUGGCCUACCAAGUCUACGAUCUAUAGCUGGUUUUAGAGGAUGAUCAGCAACACUGGGACUGAGACACGGCCCAGACUCCUACGGGAGGCAGCAGUAGGGAAUCUUGGACAAUGGGCGCAAGCCU